UCUAGCAGUUGGUACCAGACUCCAGUGUUUCGGAACUUCCUGUUAUCUGAUCAUCUCCAUCUUUUCCUGGGUUCCAUUUUCUCAAUAAAAGCUCCGUAAAUCGUUUAGAACGUCUGAAUCGGCUAACGGAGGAUCAGGAGGAUCUGGCAACGCUGGGCUGACGUUUCCGGACUGCCCCGAAGACUACUUUAAGUGCAAGACCGGCGGGGCGU
Molecule: long non-coding RNA, 212 nt
Organism: Ixodes scapularis (black-legged tick)
Lineage: Eukaryota; Metazoa; Arthropoda; Arachnida; Ixodida; Ixodidae
Exons: 3
Source: RefSeq, a predicted model, not a curated record